AACGAACGCUGGCGGCAUGCCUAACACAUGCAAGUCGAACGAGACCUUCGGGUCUAGUGGCGCACGGGUGCGUAACGCGUGGGAACCUGCCCUUAGGUUCGGAAUAACUCCCCGAAAGGGGUGCUAAUACCGGAUAAUGUCUUCGGACCAAAGAUUUAUCGCCUUUGGAUGGGCCCGCGUUGGAUUAGCUAGUUGGUAGGGUAAAAGCCUACCAAGGCGACGAUCCAUAGCUGGUCUGAGAGGAUGAUCAGCCACACUGGGACUGAGACACGGCCCAGACUCUUACGGAAGGAAGCAGUGGGGACUAGUGGACAAUGGGCGAAAGCCUGAGCCAUCAAUUCCGCGUGAGUCAUGAAGGCCUUAGGGUUGUAAAGCUCUUUUACCCGGGAUGAUAAUGACAGUACCGGGAGAAUAAGCUCCGGCUAACUCCGUG
Molecule: ribosomal RNA, 433 nt
Filed under: uncultured bacterium
Lineage: Bacteria
Description: partial 16S ribosomal RNA
Rfam family: Bacterial small subunit ribosomal RNA
Source: RNAcentral